GGCGAUGUAGCUCAGUUGGUUAGAGCAGUGGAAUCAUAAUCCAUUGGUCCGGGGUUCGAAUCCCUGCAUCGCUACCA
This 77-nucleotide transfer RNA is filed under the name Candidatus Cloacimonadota bacterium. Its description in RNAcentral is "Candidatus Cloacimonetes bacterium (marine metagenome) tRNA-Met". It matches the Rfam family "tRNA". From Rfam's summary of the family: Transfer RNA (tRNA) molecules are approximately 80 nucleotides in length. The record is from RNAcentral. Lineage: Bacteria; Pseudomonadati; Candidatus Cloacimonadota.